RNAcentral lists this non-coding RNA (21 nucleotides) under Caenorhabditis elegans. The record is from RNAcentral. Lineage: Eukaryota; Metazoa; Nematoda; Chromadorea; Rhabditida; Rhabditidae.
UGGAAGAUCCCAUUGAUUUGA